UACGUAGGAGGCAAGCGUUGUCCGGAAUCACUGGGUGUAAAGGGUGCGCAGGCGGAAAGGUAAGUUAGAGGUGAAAUCUUGCGGCUUAACCGCAAAAUUGCUUCUAAUACUGCUUUUCUUGAGUACGGAAGAGAAUGAUGGAAUUCCUGGUGUAGCGGUGAAAUGCGUAGAUAUCAGGAAGAACACCAGUGGCGAAGGCGGUCAUUUGGUCCGUUACUGACGCUCAGGCACUAAAGCGUGGGGAUCAAACAGG
RNAcentral lists this ribosomal RNA (253 nucleotides) under uncultured prokaryote. RNAcentral describes it as "partial 16S ribosomal RNA". It matches the Rfam family "Bacterial small subunit ribosomal RNA", at positions 524 to 776 of the family's 1533-position model. The record is from RNAcentral.